Molecule: unclassified non-coding RNA, 200 nt
Filed under: Dothideomycetes sp.
Lineage: Eukaryota; Fungi; Ascomycota; Dothideomycetes
Description: partial internal transcribed spacer 2
Source: RNAcentral
UUAAGUUCAGCGGGUAUCCUUGUCUGAUCUGAGGUCAAACUACAAAGUUUGAUGUUCAGGCGGCCUCAACUUCUCUUUCGUGAUGAUAAAAUUUACUACACUGAGAUUGGUAUCGGUUCGCAAGCGUGCCACGUUAGAGAGGUGAAUCCUCUCAAAACCCUUAAAAAGGAGUGGGUACUGACGCUCAAACAGACAUGCCC